CCUACGGGGGGCAGCAGUGGGGGAUAUUGCACAAUGGGGGAAACCCUGAUGCAGCGAUGCCGCGUGAAUGAUGAAGGCUUUCGAGUCGUAAAGUUCUGUUCUUAGGGAAGAUAGUGACGGUACCUAAGAAGAAAGCCCCGGCUAAAUACGUGCCAGCAGCCGCGGUAAUACGUAUGGGGCGAGCGUUAUCCGGAAUUAUUGGGCGUAAAGAGUUCGUAGGCGGUCCUUUAAGUCAGAAGUGAAAGGCAGUGGCUCAACCAUUGUAAGCUUUUGAAACUGGAGGACUUGAGUGUUGGAGAGGAAAGCGGAAUUCCUAGUGUAGCGGUGAAAUGCGUAGAUAUUAGGAGGAACACCAGUGGCGAAGGCGGCUUUCUGGACAAAUACUGACGCUGAGGAACGAAAGCGUGGGGAGCGAACAGGAUUAGAUACCCCCGUAGUC
Molecule: ribosomal RNA, 439 nt
Filed under: uncultured bacterium
Lineage: Bacteria
Description: bacterial SSU rRNA
Rfam family: Bacterial small subunit ribosomal RNA
Source: RNAcentral